Non-coding RNA from Pelobates cultripes (western spadefoot toad), 1651 nucleotides. The record is from the annotation of a GenBank genome assembly. NCBI's taxonomy places the organism in Eukaryota, Metazoa, Chordata, Amphibia, Anura, Pelobatidae.
UUUUUUUUAUAAUUGUCAUUUAUUGAAUAUGUUUUAAGGGAUACAAAAAGAAAAAAGGGAAGGGGGUAUCCACAGAGAAAAAAAAGAAUAACAGCAUCAAGUUUUUCAUGAAAAUAAUCUGGAUAUAAGCAUACAAUUAUAAAACGGGGAGAUUUUUCCGUAUAUAGUAGUUGGACAUAACAAAAAAGUGCAUGUUAGUUUACAGCCGUUUUCAACUUUAGACACUCCCAGCUUUUUCCCAGCCUGCAACAGACUCUCCCAUGCUAAGCCUAGUGUAGAGUUUUCACUGUUACUAAUUUUCAGUGGGUUCUGGGUCAUUGUCAGCAGCCUCUUCUGUGGGUCCCAAUAUUUCUCCAAUUUAUGUUGUUGUCUAUGUGUGAAUAUUGCCUUAUUUUCAAAAGUGUAGUUAAUUUAUAUUCUAUCUAAAAAUUUGUUAGUGUAGGAAUGUGCUCUACUAGUUUAUGGCAACUAGCUGCCCUAUCAACAUAAGGUAUGUCAUUAUCAAAUGAGAGCCAUAGUGAGUGCUCUAUGGACUGGGGAAUGUGGGACAAGCAGAGAUGGUGGAUAGUUUAUAAACUCGUGACCAAGAUGUUGUGAGUGUAGGGAAAGUCAAUCAAAUGUGUUGUAAAGUACCUGGUGCAAAUUAGCAUCUCCAACAAUAUGUAGAAGCCUCUGGAUAUAUGUGGUAUAAUCUAUCGGGAGAUAGGUACCAUCUGUAUAUAAGUUUUCUGUGAGCCUCAAUGUGAUUAUAACAAAAGGUAACCCCUUUUAGUACAUUGAUUGCUACCAUCCAUAUACUCGCACCCUAACUCCGAUUUUUACAUUCUGAGGAGAGAAGUAUCCCUGCACUAAACAGUAAAAUUUCAAAAGGAGUUUAGGUUUCAAGGGUGAUAGUGUCUGUUGAUAUGCCCUAAGUGUGUCCAUGGUUAUUCCUUUGGUUGUAUAAACAUAACUUAACAAGCUUUUCAGUUGUAGAAAAUGUAAUAUAUAUAUUGGGAUUGUAGUGCAUAGGUUUGUUGCAAAUCCCCAAAAGGAAGGGUUUGCAUUGUUGAAAUAAUUGAGCUUUUUAUGUGAUUCCUUUCUUGGCUUAAUAAUGGUGGGAGAGAGUUGGUGAAAUGACACUAGUGCUGACAGUGGAGCAGUGUGUAACAGCUUACUGCUGAAUCGUAGCCUAGCUAGUAACGAGUGCCAAAUGCUGAAGGACAGUUGAGUAGCAUUAAACGUGGAACUGCAAUGUUUUAUAUUGCAGCACUAAGUGUAAAAGGGUCACAGCAUCCAAACCAUUUCAAUUAGCUGAAGUGGUAUGGGUGCCUACAGUGUCCCUUGAAAAUGUACACACGUUUAGGAAGUAUAAUACCUCUCGGUACCUCACCAGGGCCGGCUCGUCCAUAAGGUGGCACAGACGGCCACCUUAGGGCGCCAGAGCAUGCGGGAGCAAAAAUCAGAAACCCCUGCCUCUGCAGUCGGCUGGCCUAUUCUGAUGACUUGAACUUCCCAGGCUGCUGUGUGCUACCUCCAGCUCCUGUUCCACCCCUCCCUGGCCCAAAGUAAGGAAUACACUGUUUUUUUUAUUUUGUUUUUUUAAAUCCAUUUUUUUUAAAGCAGCACCUGUCUCCCUCUUUCAGCCCCAGUGCCCCCACCACAGUUCCUG